GUGACAGCCGCCGCGGUAAUACGUAGGUGGCAAGCGUUGUCCGGAAUUACUGGGUGUAAAGGGAGCGUAGGCGGGCUCGCAAGUUGAAUGUUAAAUCUAUCGGCUCAACCGGUAGCUGCGUUCAAAACUGCGAGUCUUGAGUGAAGUAGAGGCAGGCGGAAUUCCUAGUGUAGCGGUGAAAUGCGUAGAUAUUAGGAGGAACACCAGUGGCGAAGGCGGCCUGCUGGGCUUUUACUGACGCUGAGGCUCGAAAGCAUGGGGAGCAAACAGGAUUAGAUACCCUCGUAGUCC
This 291-nucleotide ribosomal RNA is filed under the name uncultured bacterium. RNAcentral describes it as "partial 16S ribosomal RNA". It matches the Rfam family "Bacterial small subunit ribosomal RNA", at positions 505 to 796 of the family's 1533-position model. The record is from RNAcentral.